Molecule: long non-coding RNA, 334 nt
Filed under: Nicotiana benthamiana
Lineage: Eukaryota; Viridiplantae; Streptophyta; Magnoliopsida; Solanales; Solanaceae
Description: long non-coding RNA (NBEN_LNC001916)
Source: RNAcentral
UAAUCCAAAUGUAUGUAUUAACCCUAGUCAACAUGCAAGCACCAUAUGAAACAUCUUUUAAAGGACUGAAAUGAGAAGGAAGAGUACCAGCAAAGUUUGCAGAUCCCAUAAUGUUUGGUUGAGUCUGAGAUUCUGAAAUCUGAGUCUGUUGAAGUAGCAUCAGGAGCUGUGCAUAUUGAUCCUUUGUUAGCCCAGGUAUACCAGCUUCUGAACUAGAUUGCCCCUGACUACCCUCACUUGAGCUUGAAGAAUCAACUGAGCUUGCACAUCCUUGUGUUUCAACAUUAGCAGCAACUCUUUUGUUUCUAGUAAACUUGAAAUCCGAUGGGAAUCC